UGGGGAAUAUUGCACAAUGGGCGAAAGCCUGAUGCAGCAACGCCGCGUGAGUGAUGAAGGUCUUCGGAUUGUAAAGCUCUGUCUUUUGGGACGAUAAUGACGGUACCAAAGGAGGAAGCCACGGCUAACUACGUGCCAGCAGCCGCGGUAAUACGUAGGUGGCGAGCGUUGUCCGGAUUUACUGGGCGUAAAGGGUGCGUAGGCGGAUGUUUAAGUGAGAUGUGAAAUACCCGGGCUUAACUUGGGUGCUGCAUUUCAAACUGGAUAUCUAGAGUGCAGGAGAGGAGAAUGGAAUUCCUAGUGUAGCGGUGAAAUGCGUAGAGACUAGGAAGAACACCAGUGGCGAAGGCGAUUCUCUGGACUGUAACUGACGCUGAGGCACGAAAGCGUGGGUAGCAAACAGGAUUAGAUACCCUGGUAGUCCACGCCGUAAACGAUGAGUACUAGGUGUAGGAGGUAUCGACCCCUUCUGUGCCGCAGUAAACACAUUAAGUACUCCGCCUGGGAAGUACGAUCGCAAGAUUAAAAC
This 529-nucleotide ribosomal RNA is filed under the name uncultured bacterium. RNAcentral describes it as "partial 16S ribosomal RNA". It matches the Rfam family "Bacterial small subunit ribosomal RNA", at positions 355 to 900 of the family's 1533-position model. The record is from RNAcentral.